AAAACUACCCCGUUUCAGCCCUCAGCCUGAGGACUCAGAUUCAGGCUCAGGUCUAGGGGUUGGGGAAUAUUAAAGUUUACAAGUCCAAUCUUACUCCAUCCAUGCACACACAUGGAGAAGCCGGGAGAGGACGUGGCCAGAGAUGGGCUCCUGUCCCUGAACCCCUGCUGGGGUGGAAGCAGAGAUGGGGCCUCCCUGUGUUGCCCAGGCUGGUCUCAAACUCCUGGACCCAAGUCAUCCUCCCAAAGUGCUGGGAUUACAAGUGUGAGCCACCAUGCCUAGCCUGACUUUAAAAUUUUUGCCAAUCCAGUGGACAAGGAGGGAGACUGGAAGAAGGGGCCAGAAAUUCAGACUCAGAGGCCCCCUCCAGAGGCCACAAGGCAGUCUGGCCCUCUCUGAACCAGUGGCUCCCACUCACUGGCCCCUUGUCUCUGCCUGGACUCCUGUGGAUGAGUGGAAGGCCUAGAGGGCGCCCUCUGGUGCCCACCAGAUCGACUCCCAAUUAAUCAUUUAACUGUGUCUCCGUGGGCCAACUAUUCAACUUCUCUGUGCCUCGAGUCCUCCUCCAAAAAUGGGGAUAAAGACAGUGCUUGCCUCGUGGGGAUGUUGUGUGUGUAUACAUGCAUACACACAUGUGCAAAGAGCUUAGAGCCCCGCCUGGUACCAUUUUCACGCUCAGUAAAUGCUUAGGAGGAUUGUUGUGGCAACCCAGCAGCCUGAUGUGUAAGCCUAUGGUCCCAUCUCAGGGCAUGUGGGUGUCACAGGAUUGUAGUGGGUGUCACAGGAUCGUAGUCCUGACGGCCCAAAAAUAAUGUUAAAAUGACUCAAGGACUUCACUUGUGCUUCUGAGCUUCCUGAAGGAAAUAGGCACAGUCUAUAGAACUACUUCCCAACACUCCCUUAGUUCAACUGUCCACUUCCUCAGCACAGUCCCUGCCAUGUCUUUGGAGGUCCCCCUGCUCCGGACUUCCUUCAUUCAGCCAACAGUGUUUAUUGGGCACGUGCUAUGUGCCAGCUGCUGUUUUAGGCUCUUAGAAUAAAUCAGAAAACAAAAUAGUGAAAAAUGCCCAUGAUCCACAUGUAGAUUCUAGAGGUCACCCCAGAGAAAAGCCCAGACCCUUGGCCUUCCUCUGACCUGCCCCUUUCUUCCUCGUUCUGCACCCAGAACCCAAGAAAACCCUGCAGCCCUUCCUGGGAGGGCGGUGGAGAGGAAGGAUCUGAGUUGGCCAAGCCAGGCUCUCCAGUAGGCAGGGCUCCAGCAGAGGCUGGGCAUGUUCAGUCAUCAGCAACUGCGUCCCAUUACCUGUGGAAAGCGCCAGCCCUGGCCUGGCAAACAGUAGGAGUUCAUCAAGGGUGCCUUCGUUGUACAGUGGUUGCCUUGUACCCAGUUGGAUUGGCAGCAGCUUCAGGGCACGAGGAGUGACUAUUCACUCCUUGAGGAGCUUGCAGCACAGGGCAAGGUGCACAGUAGGCACUUGGUGGCCGGCAGGGCCCUCUGGGGCACCCUAUAGGUGAAUCUCUUGCUGAGUCCACGGAAGGCCCAUGUCAGAAUCCAGUAAUGUGCUGGGGAGGCGAGCUGGGGUGGGGUUGGAAGUGGUGCUCACCAGCCCAGCCAGGGUUCCUCUUAAAAGUCACAGUGCUCAAAGCCAGCACAGUGCCUCACCUGUUUGUAUACCCUCCCCUGGCUCAUCUCCCAUCCAUUAGUCCUCAAGGUACAUCUGUGAGUCCCAUUGGUCAGGUAGUGGGUACAAUGGGAGGAGACGAGGGUGUGGACUUAUCUUCAGAUCCACCUCUUAGUACCUGUGAGACGUCAGCAACCACCCUGACCCUCUGUGUCUUCAUCUGUAAAAUGCACGUAUUAGUCUCUUCCUUGGUGGAAAGGAUUAAAUGAGAUGCUGCAUAUGGAGACAUGUGGGGUUUUGUAAGUGCUCAUUCUCCCUUUUCCCUCAGGAAGAAAGCCUCCACCUUCAGACUAUCAGGCACUUGGGGACAGACCCCAGGAUACUGCCUUUUGUGGCUCUUACCACCUAUGGUCACCUCAGUUACUCAAGCCACACAUGCAUGUUCGUGUAUCCCCCGCAUUUACACAGAAACUCACGGGCAUUAUAUCAACCAGGGUUCCUAGUUGCAAGCAACAGAAAGAAACUAUGACUGACUUAAGCAGAAAAGGAAUUUCUCAAAAGGAUAUUAUUUGAUUUAUGGAAUCACAGGAAAUUUUCCAGGUCUCCACCUGGAAGGCAGAAUGAACCUUAUUAAAAUUAGUUGAGAUGCACACUUAGCAUUGUGCCUUGCACAGAGUAAGUGCUCAGUAACUCUUAUCCAAUAAUAAUGAAAGCACAUCUUAUGGUGUGACACCUCUGCUCAAAAUCCUUUCAUAGAUCCAAUUGUCUAACAUGGAAACCCUGGCCUCUGGGCUGUGGAUACUUGUGAUGGGGGAGGUGGUGCAGGCUCCAAAUUCUUUCCAAGAGUCUGCAAACCCGCAGACCCAUGAAACAUUGUCUGUAGGCCAGCACUCAUCCUCCACCCCUCUGCCUGCUUCUCCGCUUUCCUAGUUCCUUCUCCCUCCUGUAGGAAUUCAGCAUUGCCACUCCGAUUGGCUGGAUUUUGGGACAUUGAUUGAGCCUUGUUUUCUAGUGGGCAGGAGGCUCUGUGGCUUAAAGGCCACGAGCCCAGCUGCCAAUGAAUCAGUACUUUGUUUCCCCAGGUAGAGUGGGGAAGAGGGGGCAGGGAACUGGCAGGGCAAGUUUGGGGCCUUCUGCUCCAAGGUCCCUCUGGCCAAACUUUAUCAAAUGUCAUCCAACAUGCCCCUGGCUCUCCAUUUCAGAUGUCUGUAAACUGGGGACUAAACAACGCAAAUGUGUUUAAAGGAGUUGCU
Rhinopithecus roxellana (golden snub-nosed monkey) is the source of this 2875-nucleotide long non-coding RNA. RefSeq lists it as uncharacterized. NCBI's taxonomy places the organism in Eukaryota, Metazoa, Chordata, Mammalia, Primates, Cercopithecidae. The record is from RefSeq and is a predicted model, not a curated record. The transcript has 3 exons.